RNAcentral lists this transfer RNA (72 nucleotides) under Candidatus Nanohalococcus occultus. RNAcentral describes it as "Candidatus Nanohaloarchaeota archaeon SVXNc tRNA-Gly". It matches the Rfam family "tRNA". Rfam says of the family: Transfer RNA (tRNA) molecules are approximately 80 nucleotides in length. Their secondary structure includes four short double-helical elements and three loops (D, anti-codon, and T loops). Further hydrogen bonds mediate the characteristic L-shaped molecular structure. tRNAs have two regions of fundamental functional importance: the anti-codon, which is responsible for specific mRNA codon recognition, and the 3' end, to which the tRNAs corresponding amino acid is attached (by aminoacyl-tRNA synthetases). tRNAs cope with the degeneracy of the genetic code in two manners: having more than one tRNA (with a specific anti-codon) for a particular amino acid; and 'wobble' base-pairing, i.e. permitting non-standard base-pairing at the 3rd anti-codon position. The record is from RNAcentral. Lineage: Archaea; Nanobdellati; Candidatus Nanohalarchaeota.
GCGGCGAUAGUCCAGUGGCUAAGACAUGUGCUUGCCAUGCACAUAACCCGGGUUCAAAUCCCGGUCGCCGCA